RNA transcript from Tarenaya hassleriana, 815 nucleotides. RefSeq lists it as uncharacterized. The transcript has 3 exons. Lineage: Eukaryota; Viridiplantae; Streptophyta; Magnoliopsida; Brassicales; Cleomaceae. The record is from RefSeq and is a predicted model, not a curated record.
UUUGCAUGUUUCGAGCUUCCACACGCGCCGCCGCGAACAAGUAACCAAAAGGCGGAAGAUUUCUCGGCGCGUAAUCAGAACCCCGUCGGCGAUCGAGGAAGAGAGACCAGGAAAAUCUCAGAGGAAUCCGGAAAAAUGUGGAGCUAUAUAUGGAGGAAAUAUGCUGAUUACAAGUAUAAUAAGUGGGAGAGGACUCAUCUCUGGGACAUGAUCGAACCUUAUCGCCGACCCAAGACCUUCACUACUCUCGUCACUCUUUACGUCGCCGCUUUUUACACCGGCGUUAUCGGCGCCGCCAUUACUGAGGAGCUCUACAAGGAGAAAUAUUGGGAACAUCAUCCGGGUGAGACAGUGCCUUUGAUGAAGCCUAUAUUCUAUCGAGGACCUUGGAGGGUGUAUCGUGGUGAGGCUUUGGCUCCAGACAAACCGACCAACCAGUGAAUCUGAUAUGCGAGCUUAUCAAAGACUAUCAUCAGAGUAUUUCUUUGUCUUGAUGUGCUGCCUGCCUGAUUCACUGGUAUAUAGCAAACAAGUUGGUGUUCUAUAGAACGUUUUCUACGAUUUCACUGAUGUUUUCCAUGGCAUUUUGGUCGGGUUUUUGGCUUGUUCCCCCCAGUUAUUUUGGUUCACAACGUGUGUAAGGUAUAGGGACCAUGGAAGAUGAUGAAGAGGCAAUAAACAACCCUGCAGCUUCAUCACAUGUUUCUCGUCUGAGCUUCUUCUCUGAAAAUUUCGCUUUAUUUUGCUUCUGCAUCAGCUUCCAAUGGUACAAUACCAUCAAUGGCGACAUUGGCAUAAUGCAAGUAACUCUCUCU